Molecule: ribosomal RNA, 2925 nt
Filed under: Klebsiella variicola
Lineage: Bacteria; Pseudomonadati; Pseudomonadota; Gammaproteobacteria; Enterobacterales; Enterobacteriaceae
Description: 23S ribosomal RNA
Rfam family: Bacterial large subunit ribosomal RNA
Source: RNAcentral
GGGUUGUGAGGUUAAGCGACUAAGCGUACACGGUGGAUGCCCUGGCAGUCAGAGGCGAUGAAGGACGUGCUAAUCUGCGAAAAGCGUCGGUAAGGUGAUAUGAACCGUUACAGCCGGCGAUGUCCGAAUGGGGAAACCCAGUGCAAUUCGUUGCACUAUCGUUAACUGAAUACAUAGGUUAACGAGGCGAACCGGGGGAACUGAAACAUCUAAGUACCCCGAGGAAAAGAAAUCAACCGAGAUUCCCCCAGUAGCGGCGAGCGAACGGGGAGCAGCCCAGAGUCUGAAUCAGCUUGUGUGUUAGUGGAACGGUCUGGAAAGUCCGACGGUACAGGGUGAUAGUCCCGUACACCAAAAUGCACAGGUUGUGAACUCGAAGAGUAGGGCGGGACACGUGGUAUCCUGUCUGAAUAUGGGGGGACCAUCCUCCAAGGCUAAAUACUCCUGACUGACCGAUAGUGAACCAGUACCGUGAGGGAAAGGCGAAAAGAACCCCGGCGAGGGGAGUGAAAAAGAACCUGAAACCGUGUACGUACAAGCAGUGGGAGCACCUUCGGGUGUGACUGCGUACCUUUUGUAUAAUGGGUCAGCGACUUAUAUUCUGUAGCAAGGUUAACCGUAUAGGGGAGCCGCAGGGAAACCGAGUCUUAACUGGGCGUUAAGUUGCAGGGUAUAGACCCGAAACCCGGUGAUCUAGCCAUGGGCAGGUUGAAGGUUGGGUAACACUAACUGGAGGACCGAACCGACUAAUGUUGAAAAAUUAGCGGAUGACUUGUGGCUGGGGGUGAAAGGCCAAUCAAACCGGGAGAUAGCUGGUUCUCCCCGAAAGCUAUUUAGGUAGCGCCUCGUGAAUUCAUCUUCGGGGGUAGAGCACUGUUUCGGCUAGGGGGUCAUCCCGACUUACCAACCCGAUGCAAACUACGAAUACCGAAGAAUGUUAUCACGGGAGACACACGGCGGGUGCUAACGUCCGUCGUGAAGAGGGAAACAACCCAGACCGCCAGCUAAGGUCCCAAAGUCAUGGUUAAGUGGGAAACGAUGUGGGAAGGCACAGACAGCCAGGAUGUUGGCUUAGAAGCAGCCAUCAUUUAAAGAAAGCGUAAUAGCUCACUGGUCGAGUCGGCCUGCGCGGAAGAUGUAACGGGGCUAAACCAUGCACCGAAGCUGCGGCAGCGACACUAUGUGUUGUUGGGUAGGGGAGCGUUCUGUAAGCCUGCGAAGGUGGCCUGUGAGGGUUGCUGGAGGUAUCAGAAGUGCGAAUGCUGACAUAAGUAACGAUAAAGCGGGUGAAAAGCCCGCUCGCCGGAAGACCAAGGGUUCCUGUCCAACGUUAAUCGGGGCAGGGUGAGUCGACCCCUAAGGCGAGGCCGAAAGGCGUAGUCGAUGGGAAACAGGUUAAUAUUCCUGUACUUGGUGUUACUGCGAAGGGGGGACGGAGAAGGCUAUGUUAGCCGGGCGACGGUUGUCCCGGUUUAAGCAUGUAGGCGGAGGUUCCAGGUAAAUCCGGUACCUUUUAACGCUGAGGUGUGAUGACGAGGCACUACGGUGCUGAAGUAACAAAUGCCCUGCUUCCAGGAAAAGCCUCUAAGCAUCAGGUAACAUCAAAUCGUACCCCAAACCGACACAGGUGGUCAGGUAGAGAAUACCAAGGCGCUUGAGAGAACUCGGGUGAAGGAACUAGGCAAAAUGGUGCCGUAACUUCGGGAGAAGGCACGCUGGUGUGUAGGUGAAGUCCCUGCGGAUGGAGCUGAGACCAGUCGAAGAUACCAGCUGGCUGCAACUGUUUAUUAAAAACACAGCACUGUGCAAACACGAAAGUGGACGUAUACGGUGUGACGCCUGCCCGGUGCCGGAAGGUUAAUUGAUGGGGUUAUCCGUAAGGAGAAGCUCUUGAUCGAAGCCCCGGUAAACGGCGGCCGUAACUAUAACGGUCCUAAGGUAGCGAAAUUCCUUGUCGGGUAAGUUCCGACCUGCACGAAUGGCGUAAUGAUGGCCAGGCUGUCUCCACCCGAGACUCAGUGAAAUUGAACUCGCUGUGAAGAUGCAGUGUACCCGCGGCAAGACGGAAAGACCCCGUGAACCUUUACUAUAGCUUGACACUGAACAUUGAGCCUUGAUGUGUAGGAUAGGUGGGAGGCUUUGAAGCGUGGACGCCAGUCUGCGUGGAGCCAACCUUGAAAUACCACCCUUUAAUGUUUGAUGUUCUAACGUUGGCCCCUUAUCGGGGUUGCGGACAGUGUCUGGUGGGUAGUUUGACUGGGGCGGUCUCCUCCCAAAGAGUAACGGAGGAGCACGAAGGUUAGCUAAUCCUGGUCGGACAUCAGGAGGUUAGUGCAAUGGCAUAAGCUAGCUUGACUGCGAGCGUGACGGCGCGAGCAGGUGCGAAAGCAGGUCAUAGUGAUCCGGUGGUUCUGAAUGGAAGGGCCAUCGCUCAACGGAUAAAAGGUACUCCGGGGAUAACAGGCUGAUACCGCCCAAGAGUUCAUAUCGACGGCGGUGUUUGGCACCUCGAUGUCGGCUCAUCACAUCCUGGGGCUGAAGUAGGUCCCAAGGGUAUGGCUGUUCGCCAUUUAAAGUGGUACGCGAGCUGGGUUUAGAACGUCGUGAGACAGUUCGGUCCCUAUCUGCCGUGGGCGCUGGAGAAUUGAGGGGGGCUGCUCCUAGUACGAGAGGACCGGAGUGGACGCAUCACUGGUGUUCGGGUUGUCAUGCCAAUGGCACUGCCCGGUAGCUAAAUGCGGAAGAGAUAAGUGCUGAAAGCAUCUAAGCACGAAACUUGCCCCGAGAUGAGUUCUCCCUGAGACUAUAAGUCUCCUGAAGGAACGUUGAAGACGACGACGUUGAUAGGCCGGGUGUGUAAGCGCAGCGAUGCGUUGAGCUAACCGGUACUAAUGAACCGUGAGGCUUAACCUUACAACGCCGAAG